RNAcentral lists this ribosomal RNA (468 nucleotides) under uncultured bacterium. RNAcentral's name for it is "partial 16S ribosomal RNA". It matches the Rfam family "Bacterial small subunit ribosomal RNA", at positions 28 to 507 of the family's 1533-position model. The record is from RNAcentral.
GACGAACGAGGGAGGGGGGAGGACCAAAGGCAAGUCGAACUGAAAGGCCCUGCUUUUGUGGGGUGCUCGAGUGGCGAACGGGUGAGUAACACGUGAGUAACCUGCCCUUGACUUUGGGAUAACUUCAGGAAACUGGGGCUAAUACCGGAUAGGAGCUCCUGCUGCAUGGUGGGGGUUGGAAAGUUUCGGCGGUUGGGGAUGGACUCGCGGCUUAUCGGCUUGUUGGUGGGGUAGUGGCUUACCAAGGCUUUGAGGGGUAGCCGGCCUGAGAGGGUGACCGGCCACAUUGGGACUGAGAUACGGCCCAGACUCCUACGGGAGGCAGCAGUGGGGAAUAUUGCACAAUGGGCGGAAGCCUGAUGCAGCAACGCCGCGUGCGGGAGUCCGGCCUUCGGGUUGUAAACCGCUUUCGCCUGUGACGAAGCGUGAGUGACGGUAAUGGGUAAAGAAGCACCGGCUACCUACGUU